UGUUGUGUUUGGUUGGGGUGAAUGAUUCCGGAAGGAAUGGAAUGAAAAAUGAACUAUCUUAUGGAUGAUUUUUAAGAAAUUUCAUUCCUUCCUCCAUUCCAUUCCCUACAUCAUAUGCUAGAUAUCAUCCCUUCCAUUUGAGAUGGAAUGCUCCAUUCUCUCCCAUCCUCAAUUUCUUCUCAAAUCUCAUCAUAACAAUUUUGCACUCCUUCAA
RNAcentral lists this long non-coding RNA (214 nucleotides) under Daucus carota (carrot). RNAcentral describes it as "long non-coding RNA (DCAR_LNC002556)". Lineage: Eukaryota; Viridiplantae; Streptophyta; Magnoliopsida; Apiales; Apiaceae. The record is from RNAcentral.